This 484-nucleotide ribosomal RNA is filed under the name uncultured bacterium. RNAcentral's name for it is "partial 16S ribosomal RNA". It matches the Rfam family "Bacterial small subunit ribosomal RNA", at positions 30 to 507 of the family's 1533-position model. The record is from RNAcentral.
AUUGAACGCUGGCGGCAGGCCUAACACAUGCAAGUCGAGCGGAUGAAGGGAGCUUGCUCCUGGAUUCAGCGGCGGACGGGUGAGUAAUGCCUAGGAAUCUGCCUGGUAGUGGGGGAUAACGUCCGGAAACGGGCGCUAAUACCGCAUACGUCCUGAGGGAGAAAGUGGGGGAUCUUCGGACCUCACGCUAUCAGAUGAGCCUAGGUCGGAUUAGCUAGUUGGUGGGGUAAAGGCCUACCAAGGCGACGAUCCGUAACUGGUCUGUGAGGAUGAUCAGUCACACUGGAACUGAGACACGGCCCAGACUCCUACGGGAGGCAGCAGUGGGGAAUAUUGGACAAUGGGCGAAAGCCUGAUCCAGCCAUGCCGCGUGUGUGAAGAAGGUCUUCGGAUUGUAAAGCACUUUAAGUUGGGAGGAAGGGCAGUAAGUUAAUACCUUGCUGUUUUGACGUUACCAACAGAAUAAGCACCGGCUAACUUCGUG